RNAcentral lists this transfer RNA (86 nucleotides) under Planctomycetota bacterium. RNAcentral describes it as "tRNA-Leu". It matches the Rfam family "tRNA". From Rfam's summary of the family: Transfer RNA (tRNA) molecules are approximately 80 nucleotides in length. Their secondary structure includes four short double-helical elements and three loops (D, anti-codon, and T loops). Further hydrogen bonds mediate the characteristic L-shaped molecular structure. tRNAs have two regions of fundamental functional importance: the anti-codon, which is responsible for specific mRNA codon recognition, and the 3' end, to which the tRNAs corresponding amino acid is attached (by aminoacyl-tRNA synthetases). tRNAs cope with the degeneracy of the genetic code in two manners: having more than one tRNA (with a specific anti-codon) for a particular amino acid; and 'wobble' base-pairing, i.e. permitting non-standard base-pairing at the 3rd anti-codon position. Lineage: Bacteria; Pseudomonadati; Planctomycetota. The record is from RNAcentral.
GGGCCCGUGGCGGAACUGGUAGACGCGGCGGACUUAAAAUCCGCUCCCCGGAAACGGGGGUGAGGGUUCGAUUCCCUCCGGGCCCA